RNAcentral lists this long non-coding RNA (674 nucleotides) under Equus caballus (horse). RNAcentral's name for it is "lncRNA (ENSECAG00000047203.1)". The record is from RNAcentral. Lineage: Eukaryota; Metazoa; Chordata; Mammalia; Perissodactyla; Equidae.
AAAUUGUAUGCUGAGGUUGCUAAGAUCUACGGUAAGAACAAAUCUUCUAUUUGUGAAAUUGUGAAGAAGGAAAAAGAAGUUCAUGCUAGUUUUGCUGUUGCACCUCAAAUAUGUAUGUAUAGGAAAAAACAGUAUAUGUAGGAUUCAGUAUUAUCUGCGGUUUCAGGCAUCCACUGAGUGUCUUGGAACGUAUCCUCCGUGGGUAAGGGGGACUACCGCAUCUCUGUGCCUCUGGCCCAGCACAUCAGACCUGCGUGUAACUCAGCCCAUUGCACCAUUCUCCACUUGGACUAUGGGAGAUGGCUCCUCAAAAUCUGGAGAUCACCUGAGCCCUUAAAUGAGAUUAGGCCCUUCCUGAAGAGAGAUUCCAAACCUGAGAGAUCCUUCUGCUGGUCUUGAGGAAGUAAGCUGCCACGAUGUGAGAGGGCCUGUGGAUGGGCCAUGAGCGGGGAGCUGAGCGUGACCUCUAGGAGCAGAGAGCAGCCUCUAACUGAUGACGUCCAGUGGGCAAGAAAGCUGGGACCACAGUCCUGCAGUUGCAAGGAACUGAAUUUGGCCAAGAACUAUGUGCACUUGGAAGUAGACCCUGCACUCCAGAAGGAAAUGCUCCUCAGCCAAAAGCUUAUGAGAGACCCUGCCCAGACUUCUGACCUAUAGAAACUGUAAGAUAAUAA